Molecule: ribosomal RNA, 253 nt
Filed under: uncultured bacterium
Lineage: Bacteria
Description: partial 16S ribosomal RNA
Rfam family: Bacterial small subunit ribosomal RNA
Source: RNAcentral
AAUCAACGCUGGCGGCGUGCCUCAGACAUGCAAGUCGAACGAUUAAACUUGCCUUCGGGCAAGAUAUAAAGUGGCGCACGGGUGAGUAACACGUAAGUAAUCUACCUUCGAGUGGGGAAUAACGUCGGGAAACCGACGCUAAUACCGCAUAAUGCAGCGGCACCUAAUGGUGACAGUUGUUAAAGGAGCAAUUCGCUUGAAGAGGAGCUUGCGGCAGAUUAGCAGUUGGUAAGGUAAUGGCUUACCAAGGCUA